GAGUUUGAUCCUGGCUCAGAUUGAACGCUGGCGGAAUGCUUUACACAUGCAAGUCGAGCGGCAGCGCGGGGCAACCUGGCGGCGAGCGGCGAACGGGUGAGUAAUACAUCGGAACGUGCCCAGACGUGGGGGAUAGCCCGGCGAAAGCCGGAUUAAUACCGCAUACGAUCUAAGGAUGAAAGCGGGGGAUCGCAAGACCUCGCGCGUUUGGAGCGGCCGAUGGCAGAUUAGGUAGUUGGUGGGGUAAAAGCUUACCAAGCCUACGAUCUGUAGCUGGUCUGAGAGGACGACCAGCCACACUGGGACUGAGACACGGCCCAGACUCCUACGGGAGGCAGCAGUGGGGAAUUUUGGACAAUGGGCGAAAGCCUGAUCCAGCCAUUCCGCGUGCAGGAUGAAGGCCCUCGGGUUGUAAACUGCUUUUGUACGGAACGAAAAGG
Molecule: ribosomal RNA, 440 nt
Filed under: uncultured bacterium
Lineage: Bacteria
Description: bacterial SSU rRNA
Rfam family: Bacterial small subunit ribosomal RNA
Source: RNAcentral